UCCACCUCAUCUACUUUCAAAUACAGAACAGAUUAGUGGAAAUUAUUGUAAGUGAAUAUCCUGACUUUAGGUUCUACUUACAACAAGAAAUUAGUACUGCAAACGAGUAUCAAUCAAUAAAGAUUUACAUGAGUCGGCUUAUAGCCUGCAUCCCCAAGCACUUACUAUUGAGGAAGCUCUACUAAGAUGAAGUGAGAAUACUAAUAGAUGGUUCACUGUACAAAAAAGUCUCAGAAACCUUAAUUUGCCACCUCUAAGUAAGCACACCUCCAGGGAGGCUGAUUACCCAACACAUGCAUGAGAUAUGUGACAACCAAGUAGAUGUCAUCUCAACAGAGUCAGUAACUUAACCAUAAGCUUGCAAGACUAUACAGUUUUGUGUGGACUGACUUCAGCAGCCUCAGCAAAUGUGCACUUUAUACCGAUCGUUCUGAAAUGCUUUUUAGAUUGGUCUUAAGAUGUCCUUGUUGCAGCAUUUUCCCUGAUCUGAAUCCUUUAUCUUCCUCCCUCCCCGUGGCUACAGUCACAUACUUUCUUUGCCUGUAGCAGCCGUUGUUCCUUGUUCUUUUCCCCUGUAAAUGAAAAAGAAUUAUGAGUAGUGUUAUUUUAACAUAAUUUUGUUGUUCUAGUGAAUAACGUAAUAGCCUGAUAAUUACAUUGCUCCUCCAAAUGGAGGAGAUUCCUUGUU
Molecule: long non-coding RNA, 688 nt
Filed under: Phoenix dactylifera (date palm)
Lineage: Eukaryota; Viridiplantae; Streptophyta; Magnoliopsida; Arecales; Arecaceae
Description: long non-coding RNA (PDAC_LNC003560)
Source: RNAcentral